AUUGAACGCUGGCGGAAUGCUUUACACAUGCAAGUCGAACGGUAACAGGCCUUCGGGUGCUGACGAGUGGCGAACGGGUGAGUAAUGCAUCGGAACGUGCCCAAUCGUGGGGGAUAACGUAGCGAAAGUUACGCUAAUACCGCAUAAGCCCUGAGGGGGAAAGCAGGGGAUCGCAAGACCUUGCGCGAUUGGAGCGGCCGAUGGCAGAUUAGGUAGUUGGUGGGGUAAAGGCUCACCAAGCCUUCGAUCUGUAGCUGGUCUGAGAGGACGACCAGCCACACUGGGACUGAGACACGGCCCAGACUCCUACGGGAGGCAGCAGUGGGGAAUUUUGGACAAUGGGCGAAAGCCUGAUCCAGCCAUUCCGCGUGCAGGAUGAAGGCCCUCGGGUUGUAAACUGCUUUUGUACGGAACGAAACGGCCUUUUCUAAUACAGAGGGCUAAUGACGGUACCGUAAGAAUAAGCACCGGCUAACUACGUGCCAGCAGCCGCGGU
RNAcentral lists this ribosomal RNA (496 nucleotides) under uncultured bacterium. RNAcentral's name for it is "bacterial SSU rRNA". It matches the Rfam family "Bacterial small subunit ribosomal RNA", at positions 30 to 521 of the family's 1533-position model. The record is from RNAcentral.